CCCCUAGAUGUUCUGGGCCGCACGCGCGCUACACUGAACAGUUCAACAAGUCUUAACCUUGGCCGAUAGGUCUGGGUAAUCUUUGAACGCUGUUCGUGAUUGGGAUAGACCUUUGCAAUUAUGGGUCUUCAACGAGGAAUUCCUAGUAAACGCAAGUCAUCAACUUGCACUGAUUACGUCCCUGCCCUUUGUACACACCGCCCGUCGCACCUACCGAUUGAAUGGUCCGGUGAAUCCCACGGACGGAGAACUUCGUGUUUUCCGGAAGUGGAGUGAACCUUACCAUUUAGAGGAAGGUGAAGUCGUAACA
RNAcentral lists this ribosomal RNA (310 nucleotides) under uncultured eukaryote. Its description in RNAcentral is "partial 18S ribosomal RNA". It matches the Rfam family "Eukaryotic small subunit ribosomal RNA", at positions 1470 to 1796 of the family's 1831-position model. The record is from RNAcentral.